GAUGAACGCUGGCGGCGUGCUUAACACAUGCAAGUCGAACGAAGCAUUUAGGACAGAUUACUUCGGUUUGAAGUUCUUUAUGACUGAGUGGCGGACGGGUGAGUAACGCGUGGGUAACCUGCCUUGUACUGGGGGAUAGCAGCUGGAAACGGCUGGUAAUACCGCAUAAGCGCACAAUGUUGCAUGACAUGGUGUGAAAAACUCCGGUGGUAUAAGAUGGACCCGCGUCUGAUUAGCUAGGUGGUGAGAUAACAGCCCACCAAGGCGACGAUCAGUAGCCGAGCUGAGAGGGUGACCGGCCAGAUUGGGACUGAGACACGGCCCAGACUCCUACGGGAGUCAGCAGUGGGGAAUAUUGCACAAUGGAGGAAACUCUGAUGCAGCGACGCCGCGUGAGUGAAGAAGUAAUUCGUUAUGUAAAGCUCUAUCAGCAGGGAAGAUAGUGACGGUACCUGACUAAGAAGCUCCGGCUAAAUACGUG
This 481-nucleotide ribosomal RNA is filed under the name uncultured bacterium. RNAcentral describes it as "partial 16S ribosomal RNA". It matches the Rfam family "Bacterial small subunit ribosomal RNA", at positions 28 to 507 of the family's 1533-position model. The record is from RNAcentral.